AUUGAACGCUGGCGGCAUGCUUUACACAUGCAAGUCGAACGGUAACAGGGUGCUUGCACCGCUGACGAGUGGCGAACGGGUGAGUAAUGCGUCGGAACGUGCCGAGUAGUGGGGGAUAACGCAGCGAAAGUUGUGCUAAUACCGCAUACGUACUGAGGUAGAAAGUGGGGGACCUUCGGGCCUUACGCUAUUCGAGCGGCCGACGUCUGAUAGCUAGUAGGUGAGGUAAAGGCUCACCUAGGCGACGAUCAGUAGGGGUCUGAGAGGAUGAUCCGCCACACUGGGACUGAGACACGGCCCAGACUCCUACGGGAGGCAGCAGUGGGGAAUUUUGGACAAUGGGCGAAAGCCUGAUCCAGCCAUGCCGCGUGUCUGAAGAAGGCCUUCGGGUUGUAAAGGACUUUUGUCAGGGAGGAAAUCCCUAGUGCUAAUAACACUGGGGGAUGACAGUACCUGAAGAAUAAGCACCGGCUAACUACGUGCCAGCCGCCGCGGUAA
RNAcentral lists this ribosomal RNA (498 nucleotides) under uncultured bacterium. RNAcentral's name for it is "partial 16S ribosomal RNA". It matches the Rfam family "Bacterial small subunit ribosomal RNA", at positions 30 to 523 of the family's 1533-position model. The record is from RNAcentral.